AAGUCCAUCAACGAUCCACACAUUACCACUUUUGAUGGGUGGCACAUUGACAAUUUUUUGGAGGGAGAAUUCAUAUUCUAUAUUUACAAAUCGGGACCAUACGAAGUCCGAACGUUUUAUCGACGUUGCGAUGAGGGAAAUGCCACUUGUAACUGUGCAGUAGCAGUAAAAUCCGGUGAUGAUGUCAUUGUUUUUGACAAAUGUGGACCAACAAUAUCAGUACCAGGAACCUUUAAACCUUUGAAGAUCACGCUAUACCUCAAUGGUCAACUAACUAAAGGAACCAGGAUAUUUUCCUUUGGUGGAGGCCAAAAGUAUAAUGUUUAUCUACCUCAUGGAUCUGUUGUCACGAUUGAGAAUGGCAAGGGAAAUCGUCCGAAUUUCCUCAACAUCUGGUAUAGAACAACGCCAGCUGACUGGAAAAAUUC
This is a long non-coding RNA of Saccostrea echinata, 428 nucleotides long. RefSeq lists it as uncharacterized. NCBI's taxonomy places the organism in Eukaryota, Metazoa, Mollusca, Bivalvia, Ostreida, Ostreidae. The transcript has 4 exons. The record is from RefSeq and is a predicted model, not a curated record.